CCGAUUUGUGACUCCUGUCAGAACUCGCCACUCUGUGGACUAAAGCAAUCUCCGCCCACGCCCAUCUGAUUUGUUGGGAGUCAC
Sinocyclocheilus grahami is the source of this 84-nucleotide long non-coding RNA. RefSeq lists it as uncharacterized. Lineage: Eukaryota; Metazoa; Chordata; Actinopteri; Cypriniformes; Cyprinidae. The record is from RefSeq and is a predicted model, not a curated record. The transcript is spliced from 3 exons.